Long non-coding RNA from Archocentrus centrarchus (flier cichlid), 2687 nucleotides. RefSeq lists it as uncharacterized. The record is from RefSeq and is a predicted model, not a curated record. NCBI's taxonomy places the organism in Eukaryota, Metazoa, Chordata, Actinopteri, Cichliformes, Cichlidae. The transcript is spliced from 4 exons.
UUUUCUCUUCUUUUAUUUAUAUCAAUACACUUGUACUGUUUUAUUUUGAAAAACUUUUAUUUUGAAAAGAGGAAGUGUGAUUCCCUCGUUUUAACCUUACUUCCGGUCUCGCUAUAUGCGGCACUUUGAACUGAAGGUGGCAGGCCGUAGACCCGCUGUGCUGAACUUUAUCAGUCAUCUUGGUUAAGUUGAUGGAACACGAGCUAGAGAGGCCGUGUGGCUGACCGUCGCCGUGUCCUUAUUGAUACCUCAUCUUGGCUAGGUUUGAUUUGCUGAUUAAGAAGUUGGAUUGGAUUGCUGGAUCGCAUCCUUGGAUUCUCUCCGGACGGAGAUGGCGAGCCUAUGCCCAGAGCAGAACUGAACAUUGGUCGAGGAGUCCCCUUCUUCUCUUCUGUGUUAACAUCUACGUGGUAACAAUACAAACCACUGACUGAAAAAAGGAGCUGAACUUCAAAGACAAACAUAUUUUGACUUGACUAACGACCAAAAGGACAAAGCUGAAAUACUGAGCUCACCAAUUCAUUUCGCACUCACCUUGAUUCCAUUGUACUCCUGCCGAACCUAGCAUCUGGUCUAAGAUAAUUGAGUUGUUCUGAGGUACUUAAUAAGUCAGGGGUUACACUAUACCAAUAUACACUUCAACAACUAGAAAUGUAUUUGCUGGUGAAAGAAAAGUGUAGCAUAGGGUUGUUUCAUCAAUUCCUGCAUGGAACAGCAUUUAUUUCUUAGAACAUUUCUUUAAUCUGAAUACUAUGAUUGCUAGUUUGAGAUUAUCAUUCAAACCCACAACGGAUGAUGCUCCAAAUUAUAACUAGCAAAAUUAAUUGCUUCUUUAAACCAGAAAAUGUUUUUGCUCUGUCAACAUAACGAUUUUUUUCCUAAUAAUCAGCCUUUGAUUUCUGUUUUUGCAGGUAGUUUACGCUGCAGUAUGGGUUCAUGCCAAGAAAAAGGGUUGAUGGAGAAGUAUAGAGAAACAAUUGCACUGUGUCUUUAUAAAUCUAGAAAAGUAUAUGAUAGGAUGCCAAAAGAGGAACUGUGAUAUUCUAUGAGAAAAUCAGGGGUAGAAGAGAAGUAUGUGAGGGUAGUACUAGACAGCAUGACAGUAAUGAGGCAGCAGGAUGGGCUCCAGGUGGGGGUGAGAUUACAUCAGAGAUCAGCUCUGAGCCCCUUGUGUUUGUGUAACAGAUAAAGUCAGGCAAGAGUCUAUGAGUCUAUGUUGAUGUUUGCAGACAACGCUGUGAGAGUAGGGAGCAGGUGGAAGAGAGUCUGGAGAGGUGGAGGUAUGCACUGCAGAGAAGAGGAAUGACAGUCACUUGAAGCUAGACAAAAAAGAUAUGUGUGAAUGAGAAGGAGCCAGGUGGAAAAGUGAAGUUACAAGAAGUAGAGAUAGUGAAAGUGGAUGAGUUUAAAUACCUGGGGUCAAGAGAGGUGAAGGAAAGAGUGCAGGCAGGGUGGAGUGGAUGGAGAUGAGCGUCAGGGGUGAUUUGUGACAAAAGGAUAGCAGCAAGAAUGAAAGGGAAGGUUUACAAGAUGAUAGUGAGACCUGAUAUGAUGUAUGGUUUGGAGACGUGGCACAAACAAAGAGACAGGAAUCAGAGCGAGAGGGGGCAGACCUGAAGAUGUGAAGGUUUUCAUUGGGAGUGACCAGGAUGGACAGGAUUAGAAACGAGUGUAGCAGACGGACAGCUCAGGUCGAGCAUUUUGGAGACAAAUUUAGAGAUGAGCUGAGAUGUUUUGGACAUACAGAGGAGGGGUAGUGGAUAUACUGGACAAAGGAUGUUAAAUAUGGAGUUGUCAGGUAACAGGAAGAGAAGAAGAGCACUUCACCAAUGGGCUUCUUCUUUUCCUCUUAUCCUUUUUAUGGAUGUAGUGAGAGAGGACAUGCAGUGGUUGGUGUGACAGAGAAGAAUGCAAGCGAUAGGGUGAGAAGGAGGCAGAUGAGCCGCUGUGGUGACUCCUAACUGGAGCAGCCGAAAGAAGAAGGAGAAAAUUAGAUGAAAACAAAUAUGCUUUGUUUUAAUCUCUAAAAUUCCACCAUGUCUAUCCAGGCAAAUAUCCAGAAAUUAGAAAAUGAUACAUUUCAAAUUAAGCCUCAUACAUUUAAGCUUUUAAAUUUGGGUCUUCCAUAUAAAUAUAAAUUCUCUUAAAGGGAUGAAUGUUAAAGUUGACCAAAACCUACCCGUAAUCCUACGUGGGUUUCCAGUGACCGGUAGAUGUUUAGAGGUUAAAAAAACAAGGCCAUUCCAAAGCGAUCCAAUGGAGCAGAACAUUUAUGAUACAUAAUACAUUUAGAAGACAUUAGACAUCUUAUUAGUGGACUUUUGUCUGAUGCAAUGAUACGUAUGAUUCACAGCACAUAAAAGUACUUAAUGCUUUUCACAGAUGUUGUGCAUUUUGGUUGAUACUGACACUGAUCCUACAUUUUAUCAUUUACCCUCUCAAUUGGGGGUACCAAUUGGUCGCAGCAGAUGGCUGUCUCUCCCUGAGCCUGGUUCUGCUGGGUGUUUCUUGCUGUUAAAAGGGAGUUAAAAUCCUGUUAAAAGUUUUCCCUCCUGCUGCUGCCAAGUGCUUGGUCAUAGGGGGUUAGAUGGGUUUUUCUCUCUAUUAUUGUAGGGUCUUUACCAUACAGCAUAAACCAUCUUGAGGCAAUUGUUGUAAUUUGUGCUAUAUAAAUAAAACUGAAUGGA